UGAGACACGGCCCAGACUCCUACGGGAGGCAGCAGUAGGGAAUCUUGGACAAUGGGGGCAACCCUGAUCCAGCCAUGCCGCGUGAGUGAAGAAGGCCCUAGGGUCGUAAAGCUCUUUCGCCUGUGAUGAUAAUGACAGUAGCAGGUAAAGAAACCCCGGCUAACUCCGUGCCAGCAGCCGCGGUAAUACGGAGGGGGUUAGCGUUGUUCGGAAUUACUGGGCGUAAAGCGCGCGUAGGCGGAUUAGAAAGUUGGGGGUGAAAUCCCGGGGCUCAACCCCGGAACUGCCUCCAAAACUGCUAGUCUAGAGUUCGAGAGAGGUGAGUGGAAUUCCGAGUGUAGAGGUGAAAUUCGUAGAUAUUUGGAGGAACACCAGUGGCGAAGGCGGCUCACUGGCUCGAUACUGACGCUGAGGUGCGAAAGUGUGGGGAGCAAACAGGAUUAGAUACCCUGGUAGUCCACGCCCUAAACGAUGUCAACUGGUUGUUGGGAGGGUUUCUUCUCAGUAACGAAGCUAACGCGUGAAGUUGACCGCCUGGGGAGUACGGCCGCAAGGUUAAAACUCAAAUGAAUUGACGGGGGCCCGCACAAGCGGUGGAGCAUGUG
Molecule: ribosomal RNA, 605 nt
Filed under: Alexandrium tamarense
Lineage: Eukaryota; Dinophyceae; Gonyaulacales; Pyrocystaceae
Description: partial Bacterial small subunit ribosomal RNA
Rfam family: Bacterial small subunit ribosomal RNA
Source: RNAcentral